Molecule: long non-coding RNA, 2733 nt
Filed under: Oryza sativa (Asian cultivated rice)
Lineage: Eukaryota; Viridiplantae; Streptophyta; Magnoliopsida; Poales; Poaceae
Description: long non-coding RNA (OSAT_LNC001004)
Source: RNAcentral
UUAGGUGGAUGCUCUGAUUGGCAUUCUUCUCCACCAUAAAGGAUUACAAGUGGAAAGAGCUCAUUACAAACCACAAUUUUGUCUGCAAACAUGUUCAAACCACUUCAGCGCAGCUCUUCAAGCAUGUAAGCAUGUUUGCACCAAAAAAUUCGGUAGCAUCUUUUUUUUUUGAAUCGUAUAUAGCCAAAUGCUCUUUCAGAAUGUCACUGAAACAUAGGGCAUACAUGGGUUAGAACAAAACAGAUGUUUUCUUAAUACCUUAGGAAGCAUAAUAUAUCCAUUUCAACUUUUCUUUCGAUUACCUGCAUCUGCAUGCUCAGUAUUCAACAUGUCUUCCCAAGCACUUUUACAUUUUGUCUAAUCUGUGCAUGUUGCUCCAUAGCUAGCUUCACCAUCAAAACAAUACAUAUAUAUUUUCAAAGACCAAAAGUGCAGGCAUUCAUGGUGUGGCCUUAUGAUCCAAGGGCAAUAUUAAUGUUAGAAAGGUAAUGAUACACUCUUGACUGAAUUUAAUAGCAGCACUGAUCUCUUGCAAAAAGAAAUAGAAUCACGCUAGUAAAUUAUAUGAAGAAUACUUGUCAUGAUUCACUUCCAAAUUAUUGUUGCAGAUAUUCUUUACAACUCCUCAAUUGAAAAUGUCACACAGGGUGAAGUAUCAUAUCAACUGUGACAAAAUCUAAGAUCCCUCUCUAUUUUCUGGCCUUAAUCUUUAUAGAAGUAUAAGAACUUACCCUAAAAUCAAUUUUGAUUGCUUCAUUUAUUUGUCAGCUUAUAAGACGUAUCGCAAACAAUGAGAAUAUUUUCCAGAAAAAAAUCUAAAAGCAUAUUGUAUUACUGGCCUCCUGUGCAUUCGACCAAAAAAAAAAACAGAGGCAAUCAUCUAUUCAUGUGCAGUACUGUGUACGGAUAAACAGAGCUACAGUACAGGGGUCUUAAGCAAUUCAUUGCCUGGACCAUUAGGGUGUGUUUAGUUCACGCUAAAAUUAGAAGUUUGUUUGAAAUUGGAACGAUGUGAUGGAAAAGUUUGAAGUUUGUGUGUGUAGGAAAGUUUUGAUGUGAUGGAAAAGUUUGAAGUUUAAAGAAAACUUUUGCAACUAAACACGGCUAAAGAACCAACCUGGUGAAGCAAACAACCGGCGACGCAAGAUUGCCAAUUUCCUUUUCCUCCGAAUGACCAAAGACUGGUACGAAGGACCAGAAUUGAACGAGGUAGCUAAAAAAAAAGGUAACAUGAUCAAACUUUCCAAAAGCAAAGGACAAAGACAAAUUCAAAUCUAAUAGGCAUCGACAAGCACAGCACGCUAGUCAUACGAUAAACAACUGGAAACGAGAGAAGUGACGUUUACAUUUCGGGCAAAAGGGGAGUAAAAAUGAAUAUAGUAACGAAGGAAAAGGCAAUUACCGGUUGAUCGUGUUGAUUCACAUGCUGGCCGUGAGGAAGAACUCCUACCACGAAGGAUUGCGGCACGAUGAGCUCUAGCAGAUGAUGCAGACGGCAUAAACCAAUACGACCAAGUAAGUAUACCCAGUGCCUAAUAAGAUUUCACAAGUAAGAACAUGGAUAUCAUAAUUUUACAGAAACAAGGAGGCGUAUGAUCAUUAUAACAUUAACACAGUAUAAAUAAAAGAACAGGGCAAGCGUCGGGAGGGAAAAAAAGGAACAAAGAAGAAACAAAUAACGAACCGGUCGUAGAAAGGAAAACAAAAGAGCUAGCACUGAUGCACAGAGUAACCAUAUAAAGGGGAGGGGCAAGAAGGCACAGCAAGCAAGGGCAUGGACACACAUACAACAAACAAUAGACAUGCAAGCCGACACCUACACCAAUAAACAGUGAAUUAACUCGCCAGCACAACCUGUGAGAACAGUAAAUACCACAGGAGGUCGACACGCACAUGAAUCACCCCCAGUAAAUACCCCGCCUUCAAAGAAGACAACGCACGCAGCAACGAAUCAGCCCACAGUCAGGACAACCGGACAGCAAGGUCGAUAAGAAACAUCAGCUCAAUCAACAAAAAAGGCAGGGUAAUGACAACCGCAUAAAUACAUACGGUAGCACUAAUAACAAAUUAAGACCACUUGACAAAUACACUUGAAAAGUUACCAGCCAUCACAGCAACCUACAUCACCAAGAGAGGGGGGGGGGGAUGCCGCUUACAAACGGGAAUUGGGCAGGUCCCAUAAAUAUGACCAUAGUGUGUUGACCCAUAGUUAUUUUUACCCCUUCCGAACAAUGGUACCCUUUUUACUAACUAUGUAAAACUGUAACACUGCAACAAUGUUUAAAAAAUAAAAUAAAAUAUCGCACACAACAACAAAGAGGGCAAUUUCUCCUACACAGGGGCCUCAUGAAAAGGGAAAUUUUUUACAAGACCCAACACAUGGAAAGGGUAAGCAAGGCGCAUUGGGAAAAUUUGCAAGCACAAAAUACAUGUAGGGAAAAAGUAAACAGCAAAAAAUUGAGAAAAGGGCUAAAACCUGCAUACCGUUUUGCUUGCUACCACCAAAUACAAGAACAAGUCAAUUUACAUGCAGACCCAUAGAAGAAUCGCCAGAAAAAAGAACAAGAAAUCGGCAAGGAGCACUGUGCAGAGCCUAGAAACCGACUACGACAAUCAGCGGGAAUAGAACAAUACCUCACCAAGAACCAUGAGCUGAGCCAUUAUAAGGAAAGUAGGAACGCCGACAUGCCAAGAACUCAGAUCAGGCUGGGCGGGCGAUGGCGACGGUUAGGU